GAUGAACGCUGGCGGCGUGCCUAAUACAUGCAAGUCGAGCGAACGGACGAGAAGCUUGCUUCUCUGAUGUUAGCGGCGGACGGGUGAGUAACACGUGGAUAACCUACCUAUAAGACUGUGAUAACUUCGGGAAACCGGAGCUAAUACCGGAUAAUAUUUUGAACCGCAUGGUUCAAAAGUGAAAGACGGUCUUGCUGUCACUUAUAGAUGGAUCUGCGCUGCAUUAGCUAGUUGGUAAGGUAACGGCUUACCAAGGCAACGAUGCAUAGCCGACCUGAGAGGGUGAUCGGCCACACUGGAACUGAGACACGGUCCAGACUCCUACGGGAGGCAGCAGUAGGGAAUCUUCCGCAAUGGGCGAAAGCCUGACGGAGCAACGCCGCGUGAGUGAUGAAGGUCUUCGGAUCGUAAAACUCUGUUAUUAGGGAAGAACAUAUGUGUAAGUAACUGUGCACAUCUUGACGGUACCUAAUCAGAAAGCCACGGCUAACUACGUG
RNAcentral lists this ribosomal RNA (497 nucleotides) under uncultured bacterium. RNAcentral describes it as "partial 16S ribosomal RNA". It matches the Rfam family "Bacterial small subunit ribosomal RNA", at positions 28 to 507 of the family's 1533-position model. The record is from RNAcentral.